Long non-coding RNA from Phyllostomus hastatus (greater spear-nosed bat), 618 nucleotides. RefSeq lists it as uncharacterized. The transcript has 4 exons. The record is from RefSeq and is a predicted model, not a curated record. NCBI's taxonomy places the organism in Eukaryota, Metazoa, Chordata, Mammalia, Chiroptera, Phyllostomidae.
UGGAAGGGCAGCGGGAGGCACUCACAUGUGUGCGCAGAGGGACGCGUGUGUCUGAGGAGGCUCCUGUGGGGAGCCUCACCCCGCCGUCCCCCACCCUCUCGGACCUACGUUAGGGAAAAGUCAGGAUCGCCGGGACCAGGGAGCCCGCUGCACCCAUCUCGCAGGGAGACAGUGAGGACUGGGAGCGAUGCCUACAAGGGCUCUGCGGUGCCCAUCUCUCAGUGAAUGGAGGUCACUGUUAGACGUUUUAGUGACCACCAAGAAGGUUCUGAGGCCCUCGCUGGUGCAGCUCAGUUGGUUGGGUGUUGGCCCUCAAAGCGAAACGUCGCUGGUUCGAUUCCAGGGUGCAUGAAAUCAAGGGAAGCAGUUAAAGCAUCCUGAGUUCAAACCCCAGCUCUGGCCCUUCACCAGCCGUGGGACUGGGCAGUGCCUGGGCCCCCCGUGAGCCUGGAAGCUGACUGGGGACACUGGGCCUGAGGUCCCCACGGCUCCGGUGGAUGUCGGCGAAGCAGAGCAGGCAGAGCGCCUGGAGUGGCCGGUCGCCGUGCUGCAGUGCGAUCUUCAUGGACUCCUGCGAGGGAGGCCCGUCACCCAGGCCUGCCCACCUGCCCCCACCAC